CAGGGGCCCAGACUUACACCCUGACCGUCCCACCUUCUGUCCUCGUCCUGGACCUCAGGUUCCCAGCGUCCCGAGCCCAGCACUGCCUCUUCAGUGCUCUGACUUCUCACCCAGAGGUUUCACCUCUCACAGGCCCAGAGCCCUGUCUCACUCACCCCACCUGUCUUACACUCCAGCUCCCAGCCUGACAAGCUUUCCACUCACAGGGGAGAGGCUACUGCAGAACCUGACGGUUCAGGCCGAGUCGCCCUUCGGGGUUGGGGCCCUCACGCACCUGCUGCUCUCUGGGAGCCCUGAGGACCGAGUGGCCUGCGCGCUGACUCUGCCCUUCAUCUGUCGGAAGCCCUCUCUGUGGCGCCGGCUGCUUCUGGAGCAGGGUGGCCUCCGGCUCCUCCUUGCGGCGCUGACCCGG
This 412-nucleotide small RNA is filed under the name Pongo abelii (Sumatran orangutan). RNAcentral's name for it is "retained intron". The record is from RNAcentral. Lineage: Eukaryota; Metazoa; Chordata; Mammalia; Primates; Hominidae.